CACUGUGCUGAUGGUUCUAUCAUGUGUGAAGAAGAGGAAAUCAUGGUCUGCUCUUGCCCUGUCCAUGCUGACUCAAAAUCCUGAGUGCUCCCUGUAAGUUGCCUACAGAGUGCUCUUACAAGUUUCGUAUCCAAUCUGACUCCAAGCUUUUGGAGAGGCAAUAGCCAUAUAAAGCCUCUGGAGUUGACCCCACACCAACACAAACAACGAUACAGCAAGGACCACCAACCUGGAGAGCUUUAAAAGUGACAAGGCAUAUUCCUGGAAGGUGUUUAGGACUUGUCCUUCAUACAUAGGAUGGGCAUACCAAAGUGAGAGGAGUAUUUCUCUCAUCUAGACCAAGCUUUAGUGGCAUCUCUUCUGGAACACCAGCAUGUCCUUGGUCCAGAUCUUUCUUCUGUCACACCUCUUCCCCAGUAUGAAGAGCAUUGGCUUACAAAUAAACUUGCCCAUGUAGACAACAGAAGAUUGAACUUUGAAGUUUCUAGUUGGUUCCUGAUCUUAGAAGACUUCGAAGACAUCAAGAAACUAUCUAGAUCCUUAAUUAUAGGCUAUUGGCCUUCAGAACAAGAUCUUCCUCUCCCCUCUCCCCCGCAGUCUUUUCCAAUGCACAGACCUCCAUGCAGAUUAGACUACAAAUUCCAUUGACUGUCUUGGCUACAGAUGACCAGAGGUGCAGACUAAUACAUCUGGAAGAAAACAUAACACUGAAUGCUUUAGUGCUGCUACAUUGCAAAUACAUUCACAUGAAAAUAUAAAAGUGCCUUAAUGUGUUUUCCUCAGGAGGGUAAACUCAUAACUUUGUACCCAAACUCCAAAGCCCAUUCAAAAAAAAAAUCCUUGGCAUGUUCUAUUGUGUAAACUGUUGUGAUAUAUGCUGUGUCUGAUUAUCUACAAAUGUUUCCUGUGAAUGUUUAUUCUGAUCCUGAAUUUGGAUUUUUGUAUAGCCU
Non-coding RNA from Pogona vitticeps (central bearded dragon), 950 nucleotides. Lineage: Eukaryota; Metazoa; Chordata; Lepidosauria; Squamata; Agamidae. The record is from RefSeq and is a predicted model, not a curated record.